Molecule: ribosomal RNA, 253 nt
Filed under: uncultured bacterium
Lineage: Bacteria
Description: partial 16S ribosomal RNA
Rfam family: Bacterial small subunit ribosomal RNA
Source: RNAcentral
UACGUAGGGUGCAAGCGUUGUCCGGAAUUAUUGGGCGUAAAGGGCUCGUAGGCGGCGUGUCGCGUCGGGAGUGAAAGACCGGGGCUUAACCCCGGUUCUGCUUCCGGUACGGGCAUGCUGGAGUGUGGCAGGGGAGACUGGAAUUCCUGGUGUAGCGGUGGAAUGCGCAGAUAUCGGGAAGAACACCCGUGGCGAAGGCGGCUCUCUGGGACGGUACUGACGCUGAGACGCGAAAGCGUGGGGAGCGAACAGG